AUACGGAGGGUGCAAGCGUUACUCGGAAUCACUGGGCGUAAAGCGCGCGCAGGCGGCCAUUUAAGUUGGAUGUGAAAGCCUACGGCUCAACCGUAGAACUGCAUCCAAAACUAUUUGGCUAGAGUGUGGGAGAGGAAGAUGGAAUUAGUUGUGUAGGGGUAAAAUCCGUAGAGAUAACUAGGAAUACCAAAAGCGAAGGCAAUCUUCUGGAACACUACUGACGCUGAGGCGCGAAAGCGUGGGGAGCAAACGGGAUUAGAUACCCCAGUAGUCC
This 274-nucleotide ribosomal RNA is filed under the name uncultured bacterium. RNAcentral's name for it is "partial 16S ribosomal RNA". It matches the Rfam family "Bacterial small subunit ribosomal RNA", at positions 523 to 796 of the family's 1533-position model. The record is from RNAcentral.